This 1552-nucleotide ribosomal RNA is filed under the name Staphylococcus aureus. Its description in RNAcentral is "16S ribosomal RNA". It matches the Rfam family "Bacterial small subunit ribosomal RNA". Lineage: Bacteria; Bacillati; Bacillota; Bacilli; Caryophanales; Staphylococcaceae. The record is from RNAcentral.
UUUAUGGAGAGUUUGAUCCUGGCUCAGGAUGAACGCUGGCGGCGUGCCUAAUACAUGCAAGUCGAGCGAACGGACUAGAAGCUUGCUUCUCUGAUGUUAGCGGCGGACGGGUGAGUAACACGUGGAUAACCUACCUAUAAGACUGGGAUAACUUCGGGAAACCGGAGCUAAUACCGGAUAAUAUUUUGAACCGCAUGGUUCAAAAGUGAAAGACGGUCUUGCUGUCACUUAUAGAUGGAUCCGCGCUGCAUUAGCUAGUUGGUAAGGUAACGGCUUACCAAGGCAACGAUGCAUAGCCGACCUGAGAGGGUGAUCGGCCACACUGGAACUGAGACACGGUCCAGACUCCUACGGGAGGCAGCAGUAGGGAAUCUUCCGCAAUGGGCGAAAGCCUGACGGAGCAACGCCGCGUGAGUGAUGAAGGUCUUCGGAUCGUAAAACUCUGUUAUUAGGGAAGAACAUAUGUGUAAGUAACUGUGCACAUCUUGACGGUACCUAAUCAGAAAGCCACGGCUAACUACGUGCCAGCAGCCGCGGUAAUACGUAGGUGGCAAGCGUUAUCCGGAAUUAUUGGGCGUAAAGCGCGCGUAGGCGGUUUUUUAAGUCUGAUGUGAAAGCCCACGGCUCAACCGUGGAGGGUCAUUGGAAACUGGAAAACUUGAGUGCAGAAGAGGAAAGUGGAAUUCCAUGUGUAGCGGUGAAAUGCGCAGAGAUAUGGAGGAACACCAGUGGCGAAGGCGACUUUCUGGUCUGUAACUGACGCUGAUGUGCGAAAGCGUGGGGAUCAAACAGGAUUAGAUACCCUGGUAGUCCACGCCGUAAACGAUGAGUGCUAAGUGUUAGGGGGUUUCCGCCCCUUAGUGCUGCAGCUAACGCAUUAAGCACUCCGCCUGGGGAGUACGACCGCAAGGUUGAAACUCAAAGGAAUUGACGGGGACCCGCACAAGCGGUGGAGCAUGUGGUUUAAUUCGAAGCAACGCGAAGAACCUUACCAAAUCUUGACAUCCUUUGACAACUCUAGAGAUAGAGCCUUCCCCUUCGGGGGACAAAGUGACAGGUGGUGCAUGGUUGUCGUCAGCUCGUGUCGUGAGAUGUUGGGUUAAGUCCCGCAACGAGCGCAACCCUUAAGCUUAGUUGCCAUCAUUAAGUUGGGCACUCUAAGUUGACUGCCGGUGACAAACCGGAGGAAGGUGGGGAUGACGUCAAAUCAUCAUGCCCCUUAUGAUUUGGGCUACACACGUGCUACAAUGGACAAUACAAAGGGCAGCGAAACCGCGAGGUCAAGCAAAUCCCAUAAAGUUGUUCUCAGUUCGGAUUGUAGUCUGCAACUCGACUACAUGAAGCUGGAAUCGCUAGUAAUCGUAGAUCAGCAUGCUACGGUGAAUACGUUCCCGGGUCUUGUACACACCGCCCGUCACACCACGAGAGUUUGUAACACCCGAAGCCGGUGGAGUAACCUUUUAGGAGCUAGCCGUCGAAGGUGGGACAAAUGAUUGGGGUGAAGUCGUAACAAGGUAGCCGUAUCGGAAGGUGCGGCUGGAUCACCUCCUUU